GAACGCUGGCGGCGUGCCUAAUACAUGCAAGUAGAACGCUGAAGAGAGGAGCUUGCUCUUCUUGGAUGAGUUGCGAACGGGUGAGUAACGCGUAGGUAACCUGCCUUGUAGCGGGGGAUAACUAUUGGAAACGAUAGCUAAUACCGCAUAACAAUGGAUGACACAUGUCAUUUAUUUGAAAGGGGCAAUUGUUCCACUACAAGAUGGACCUGCGUUGUAUUAGCUAGUAGGUGAGGUAAUGGCUCACCUAGGCGACGAUACAUAGCCGACCUGAGAGGGUGAUCGGCCACACUGGGACUGAGACACGGCCCAGACUCCUACGGGAGGCAGCAGUAGGGAAUCUUCGGCAAUGGGGGCAACCCUGACCGAGCAACGCCGCGUGAGUGAAGAAGGUUUUCGGAUCGUAAAGCUCUGUUGUAAGUCAAGAACGGGUGUGAGAGUGGAAAGUUCACACUGUGACGGUAGCUUACCAGAAAGGGACGGCUAACUACGUGCCAGCAGCCGCGGUAAUACGUAGGUCCCGAGCGUUGUCCGGAUUUAUUGGGCGUAAAGCGAGCGCAGGCGGUUUGAUAAGUCUGAAGUUAAAGGCUGUGGCUCAACCAUAGUUCGCUUUGGAAACUGUCAAACUUGAGUGCAGAAGGGGAGAGUGGAAUUCCAUGUGUAGCGGUGAAAUGCGUAGAUAUAUGGAGGAACACCGGUGGCGAAAGCGGCUCUCUGGUCUGUAACUGACGCUGAGGCUCGAAAGCGUGGGGAGCGAACAGGAUUAGAUACCCUGGUAGUCCACGCCGUAAACGAUGAGUGCUAGGUGUUGGAUCCUUUCCGGGAUUCAGUGCCGCAGCUAACGCAUUAAGCACUCCGCCUGGGGAGUACGACCGCAAGGUUGAAACUCAAAGGAAUUGACGGGGGCCCGCACAAGCGGUGGAGCAUGUGGUUUAAUUCGAAGCAACGCGAAGAACCUUACCAGGUCUUGACAUCCCGAUGCUAUUUCUAGAGAUAGAAAGUUACUUCGGUACAUCGGUGACAGGUGGUGCAUGGUUGUCGUCAGCUCGUGUCGUGAGAUGUUGGGUUAAGUCCCGCAACGAGCGCAACCCCUAUUGUUAGUUGCCAUCAUUCAGUUGGGCACUCUAGCGAGACUGCCGGUAAUAAACCGGAGGAAGGUGGGGAUGACGUCAAAUCAUCAUGCCCCUUAUGACCUGGGCUACACACGUGCUACAAUGGUUGGUACAACGAGUUGCGAGUCGGUGACGGCGAGCUAAUCUCUUAAAGCCAAUCUCAGUUCGGAUUGUAGGCUGCAACUCGCCUACAUGAAGUCGGAAUCGCUAGUAAUCGCGGAUCAGCACGCCGCGGUGAAUACGUUCCCGGGCCUUGUACACACCGCCCGUCACACCACGAGAGUUUGUAACACCCGAAGUCGGUGAGGUAACCUUUUGGAGCCAGCCGCCUAAGGUGGGACAGAUGAUUGGGGUG
This 1467-nucleotide ribosomal RNA is filed under the name Streptococcus thermophilus. RNAcentral describes it as "bacterial SSU rRNA". It matches the Rfam family "Bacterial small subunit ribosomal RNA". The record is from RNAcentral. Lineage: Bacteria; Bacillati; Bacillota; Bacilli; Lactobacillales; Streptococcaceae.